RNAcentral lists this ribosomal RNA (909 nucleotides) under uncultured bacterium. Its description in RNAcentral is "bacterial SSU rRNA". It matches the Rfam family "Bacterial small subunit ribosomal RNA", at positions 33 to 926 of the family's 1533-position model. The record is from RNAcentral.
ACGCUGGCGGCGUGCCUAAUACAUGCAAGUAGAACGCUGAAGGAGGAGCUUGCUUCUCUGGAUGAGUUGCGAACGGGUGAGUAACGCGUAGGUAACCUGCCUGGUAGCGGGGGAUAACUAUUGGAAACGAUAGCUAAUACCGCAUAAGAGUAGAUGUUGCAUGACAUUUGCUUAAAAGGUGCAAUUGCAUCACUACCAGAUGGACCUGCGUUGUAUUAGCUAGUUGGUGGGGUAACGGCUCACCAAGGCGACGAUACAUAGCCGACCUGAGAGGGUGAUCGGCCACACUGGGACUGAGACACGGCCCAGACUCCUACGUGAGGCAGCAGUAGGGAAUCUUCGGCAAUGGACGGAAGUCUGACCGAGCAACGCCGCGUGAGUGAAGAAGGUUUUCGGAUCGUAAAGCUCUGUUGUAAGAGAAGAACGAGUGUGAGAGUGGAAAGUUCACACUGUGACGGUAUCUUACCAGAAAGGGACGGCUAACUACGUGCCAGCAGCCGCGGUAAUACGUAGGUCCCGAGCGUUGUCCGGAUUUAUUGGGCGUAAAGCGAGCGCAGGCGGUUAGAUAAGUCUGAAGUUAAAGGCUGUGGCUUAACCAUAGUACGCUUUGGAAACUGUUUAACUUGAGUGCAAGAGGGGAGAGUGGAAUUCCAUGUGUAGCGGUGAAAUGCGUAGAUAUAUGGAGGAACACCGGUGGCGAAAGCGGCUCUCUGGCUUGUAACUGACGCUGAGGCUCGAAAGCGUGGGGAGCAAACAGGAUUAGAUACCCUGGUAGUCCACGCCGUAAACGAUGAGUGCUAGGUGUUAGACCCUUUCCGGGGUUUAGUGCCGUAGCUAACGCAUUAAGCACUCCGCCUGGGGAGUACGACCGCAAGGUUGAAACUCAAAGGAAUUGACGGGGGCCCGCAC